CAGGUCUCUGCUGCUGAUGUCCUCAAGCCUACAAGCCAGCCCUGCUAGUCCAGCUCCUUCCGCUCUUUGCAAUCAAUCUGUCCAGCGCUCGUCAUCUGAGGAUCUCAAAGCACUUCACAGACAUACGGGCUCCUCCGACAGGCUGGCCACGAGGGAUGCCUGAGACCCUGGGCUGGCGAUAGAGCUGCAACCAGCCACGCCUCCUGGGAACGCUGUCAGACGCCCGCCAAGCCGCUUGCUUCCCAAAGACCCUUCGCCGACCGGUCUCUGGCCAGGACGCCGCCUGCCUACCGGACAACAUGAACUCCCAGAACGAG
Emys orbicularis (European pond turtle) is the source of this 317-nucleotide long non-coding RNA. RefSeq lists it as uncharacterized. The transcript has 3 exons. Lineage: Eukaryota; Metazoa; Chordata; Testudines; Emydidae. The record is from RefSeq and is a predicted model, not a curated record.